RNAcentral lists this ribosomal RNA (440 nucleotides) under uncultured bacterium. RNAcentral's name for it is "partial 16S ribosomal RNA". It matches the Rfam family "Bacterial small subunit ribosomal RNA", at positions 338 to 795 of the family's 1533-position model. The record is from RNAcentral.
CCUACGGGAGGCAGCAGUGGGGAAUAUUGCACAAUGGGGGAAACCCUGAUGCAGCGACGCCGCGUGAGUGAAGAAGUAAUUCGUUAUGUAAAGCUCUAUCAGCAGGGAAGAAAAUGACGGUACCUGAGUAAGAAGCCCCGGCUAACUACGUGCCAGCAGCCGCGGUAAUACGUAGGGGGCAAGCGUUAUCCGGAUUUACUGGGUGUAAAGGGAGCGUAGACGGCAGUGCAAGUCUGGAGUGAAAGGCGGGGGCUCAACCCCCGGACUGCUCUGGAAACUGUACGGCUGGAGUGCAGGAGAGGUAAGUGGAAUGCCGAGUGUAGCGGUGAAAUGCGGAGAUAUUAGGAGGAACAACAGUGGCGAAGGCGGCUUACUGGACUGUAACUGACGUUGAGGCUCGAAAGCGUGGGGAGCAAACAGGAUUAGAUACCCGAGUAGUC